This 909-nucleotide ribosomal RNA is filed under the name Staphylococcus hominis. RNAcentral describes it as "bacterial SSU rRNA". It matches the Rfam family "Bacterial small subunit ribosomal RNA", at positions 69 to 964 of the family's 1533-position model. The record is from RNAcentral. Lineage: Bacteria; Bacillati; Bacillota; Bacilli; Caryophanales; Staphylococcaceae.
GACGAGGAGCUUGCUCCUUUGACGUUAGCGGCGGACGGGUGAGUAACACGUAGGUAACCUACCUAUAAGACUGGGAUAACUUCGGGAAACCGGAGCUAAUACCGGAUAAUAUUUCGAACCGCAUGGUUCGAUAGUGAAAGAUGGCUUUGCUAUCACUUAUAGAUGGACCUGCGCCGUAUUAGCUAGUUGGUAAGGUAACGGCUUACCAAGGCAACGAUACGUAGCCGACCUGAGAGGGUGAUCGGCCACACUGGAACUGAGACACGGUCCAGACUCCUACGGGAGGCAGCAGUAGGGAAUCUUCCGCAAUGGGCGAAAGCCUGACGGAGCAACGCCGCGUGAGUGAUGAAGGUCUUCGGAUCGUAAAACUCUGUUAUUAGGGAAGAACAAACGUGUAAGUAACUGUGCACGUCUUGACGGUACCUAAUCAGAAAGCCACGGCUAACUACGUGCCAGCAGCCGCGGUAAUACGUAGGUGGCAAGCGUUAUCCGGAAUUAUUGGGCGUAAAGCGCGCGUAGGCGGUUUUUUAAGUCUGAUGUGAAAGCCCACGGCUCAACCGUGGAGGGUCAUUGGAAACUGGAAAACUUGAGUGCAGAAGAGGAAAGUGGAAUUCCAUGUGUAGCGGUGAAAUGCGCAGAGAUAUGGAGGAACACCAGUGGCGAAGGCGACUUUCUGGUCUGUAACUGACGCUGAUGUGCGAAAGCGUGGGGAUCAAACAGGAUUAGAUACCCUGGUAGUCCACGCCGUAAACGAUGAGUGCUAAGUGUUAGGGGGUUUCCGCCCCUUAGUGCUGCAGCUAACGCAUUAAGCACUCCGCCUGGGGAGUACGACCGCAAGGUUGAAACUCNAAGGAAUUGACGGGGACCCGCACAAGCGGUGGAAGCAUGCGGUUUAAUUCGAAUCAACGG